AAUUCAUUGGUGUUAAAUUUCAAGUGUUGUGGGCUUUGGUUAUAAAAAGGCAUCCUCAAAACCAACAGUUUCAACAAAAUGGAGAAUGUGUUCAUAACACUGACUGAUCGCCAAGGAACAUUAUCAUUAACUGUCUCCAAAGAAAUUGCAGAAAAAAUAAAGCAAGAUCACAAAUAUGCAGCAUGUCUAAUGCAGCAAGUGAGAUCUGCAACACUGAAAGAAGAUAGUAGUCAUCAUCCAGCCUCUUUGGCACCAUGUCCCCCUUUAGCUACAAGUCAUUGUACAGUGUCUUUGACCAAAUGCCCUCCGCCUCCAGUCAUUACUCUUUCAGUCACGAUCCACAAUCCUACACCUUUGUCCCAGUGCCCCCCUCCAAAGAUCACUCCUGGUCCAGCAUUUGUUAAAUGUUCUGGUAAAACAAAAACCAUAGAUCUCACUAAAGCCCCACAAGGACCCAAUCUUCAGAUACAUUUAAAACAGACAGAAUGCGACAAAAUCCAAGGUAUGUUCCAUUUCAAAAUGCAUAUGUAAUCUUUCUGUAAAGCUUUUUCUAAAUUACAAAUUGUUUUCACAGAAUUCACACACAGGACCACACUGCUGCUGCUUGACCUCACACAAGCAAACAUGCA
Non-coding RNA from Danio rerio (zebrafish), 629 nucleotides. Lineage: Eukaryota; Metazoa; Chordata; Actinopteri; Cypriniformes; Danionidae. The record is from RefSeq and is a predicted model, not a curated record.